Molecule: transfer RNA, 75 nt
Filed under: Candidatus Woesearchaeota archaeon
Lineage: Archaea; Nanobdellati; Candidatus Woesearchaeota
Description: tRNA-Met
Rfam family: tRNA
About the family: Transfer RNA (tRNA) molecules are approximately 80 nucleotides in length. Their secondary structure includes four short double-helical elements and three loops (D, anti-codon, and T loops).
Source: RNAcentral
AGCGGGAUGGGGCAGCUAGGAGUGCCCGUUGGGCUCAUAACCCAAAGGUCGAAGGUUCAAAUCCUUCUCCCGCUA